UGUUAAUAAGAAAUCGAGAGCCCUCUCAAUUUAGUUUUUGCGAAAUGAUAAGAGUGAUUGGUCGAUGAAAAAACAGUGGUUGCCAUAACUCUCCGCAGUUCAUUUAGACAUCGCAAGUACACGUGUGCCUCCAAAUUUGGACUCUGCAGCCUCAGCAUGGAUGGUAAUAACGGACUACGGAUGAUGUAAACAAUUCCCAAUUUCUCAUGUUAAAUCCACUAACCCAAAAACAUUGGAUACACCAUUACAAAAAGAGUCAUUGACCAUGUCUUAACUCUCCACCUAAGGGCUUUAGCUGUUGGACUUUAAAACAGUUACUGUGGAGCUAUGUGUGUACGGUUAUCCCACCCGAAGCUCCAUGGUGGCGAGUGCCUUACCCCUGUACGUUGAAAUUUCAAUUGGAGCCAUACAUGGAUGUGCUCUCCCUGGUAGCUAUGCAGCAAUUAGCUCCCAUAUUUUAUUAGUCAAUGUCCCUUAUAUCCAAUCAAUUAAUCAAAUCUUCGAAGUUCAUCCAUGAGAUUAGAAAAUCUCAAGUGAUGAAUAACAUGAUGGCAGUCCCAAGAUGACACUGCAAAAUAAGGACAACCAUAUCAUAUUCAUGAAGAAAUGAACGUGUGCCUUCAAGAAAGCACUACCCGAAGUGGGCAAUAUUAGCCGUAACAGGUCUUGAAAGACUCCUUGUGUAGGCACAACGUUAAAAGAUGAAAGCAACCCUAAUAAGGAGCCAAGAAGCAUUAGAAAUAAACUUAUUUAAUACUGCACAAAAUAGAGCCUAUGUUGACCUGCUUAUUAAUUUUUGUGAGAGCUCAAUUACUAGGAAAAAACAAUUACCUUACAAUAUACAUGUCUUAAUAGAAGCAAAUACACGAGGGAAACAUAGAGAAUAAAUUGUAUAAAAAAAUAUGAGGUUAACUGAUCCAACAGGGUGCAAAGCAAUCUCAUGGACACAUAAAUCAUCUAAAAUUUGUGGAAAUAGCAUUCACUUUUGUGGAAUUCAAUAAUCACACAAAUUCUAAAAAAAACUUGAUUUGGUGAUAAAUUUGCCGAAGGUCAAGUGUAAUCUUAUGGAAAUGUGAAAGCCAGAAAAUAGUUUGAAGCAUGUGUGCUUAUAUUUAGAACUUUCUAAACAUAAGAACGAUGUCAGGCCCCACCGCUGAAGUUGUUGAAACUUCAACUAGGAGCCACGAUGUGCAUAUUUACUAGAAGGCAAGUCCAAAAAUUACAUAGAAAAAUAUUCUCAAUUAAUUUGUGUGAGUGUUUCGUCCAAUAGGAAAUGAGCUCAACUUGAGCAAGAGAAGCUGUGAACGAAGGCACUAUCAGGUACUGACGACGACAUAUUCCAAAACUUAGACGCACUCAAAGAGCACCCAUUCCUCCUGGCAAUACCUAAGCAUCUUUGGCGUUUUAUGCAUAUAUCAAUCAAAGAAUUGUGGAAACAAGGCUGAAAGGCAAGAGCAAUUACCUAAUCGGGUAUCGGACUAGCACACAGUGGGCACAAAUUCACAAAACGUAGGAAGCUUCUUUUUGUACAAAUAAAUAUGACAUUUUGCACAAUUUUCAACAUAAUACAUCAUGAGAAUGGAUGGCUGCAAUCAUCAUCGGAGAUUCAAGAUUCAAAUUCAACUUAUCUGUUUAAAUGGACUACUAGGUACUAUAUAGUACAAGUCAAAUUAAGCACUAGUUUGCAUUUUAUUUACCAUAAAUCAUAUACGCAUCCGGUACUUAUACCAUAUAUAUACAUCUGCCGUUGGGAAAUCCUCUGCCCCCCUCCUCCCAACACCCCACUAAAAAAACUUAUCGUACUAUAUCACACAAAAGAGACCAUAAUUCGAGUUCCUCAGUUUUCUAGAGCGGAAUCGGAAAUUGCCAGGAAUACCUUGAAUAACUCAGAGGCCAACAAAUCGCCCAAACAUCUUCGUUCGGGAGAGGGAUGAUUCACUCCGCAAAUAUUGAUUGAUGCGCGCAUCACGAACUUGCACCGGAGCCUAGAAUCCGAUCCGCCGUUGCCUUUAGGAGGGCUGCUUAGUCGGGGAGCUAGGGUUAGAUGGAGAGGCGGAAUCUUAGGAGAAGGGGAUGUACAAGGAUGCCCCGAGAGGAGGAAGACAGGAGAUAGCGCGGCGUGGGUAUGGAAGCGGGUGGGUACGAGAUCCGGUGAGAAAUGGUUUGUCC
Molecule: long non-coding RNA, 2169 nt
Filed under: Setaria viridis
Lineage: Eukaryota; Viridiplantae; Streptophyta; Magnoliopsida; Poales; Poaceae
Description: long non-coding RNA (SVIR_LNC005181)
Source: RNAcentral